Molecule: ribosomal RNA, 429 nt
Filed under: Chloroflexota bacterium
Lineage: Bacteria; Bacillati; Chloroflexota
Description: Chloroflexi bacterium partial 16S ribosomal RNA
Rfam family: Bacterial small subunit ribosomal RNA
Source: RNAcentral
UGGGGAAUAUUGCACAAUGGGCGCAAGCCUGAUGCAGCCAUGCCGCGUGUAUGAAGAAGGCCUUCGGGUUGUAAAGUACUUUCAGUCGGGAGGAAGGUGUCAAGGUUAAUAACCUUGGCAAUUGACGUUACCGACAGAAGAAGCACCGGCUAACUCCGUGCCAGCAGCCGCGGUAAUACGGAGGGUGCAAGCGUUAAUCGGAAUUACUGGGCGUAAAGCGCACGCAGGCGGUUGAUUGAGUCAGAUGUGAAAUCCCCGGGCUUAACCCGGGAAUUACAUCUGAUACUGGUCAGCUAGAGUCUUGUAGAGGGGGGUAGAAUUCCAUGUGUAGCGGUGAAAUGCGUAGAGAUGUGGAGGAAUACCGGUGGCGAAGGCGGCCCCCUGGACAAAGACUGACGCUCAGGUGCGAAAGCGUGGGGAGCAAACAGG